GAUGAACGCUGGCGGCGUGCCUAACACAUGCAAGUCGAACGGAGUCGUUUUGGAAUUCUCUUCGGAGAUGGAAUUCUCGACUUAGUGGCGGACGGGUGAGUAACGCGUGAGCAAUCUGCCUUUAAGAGGGGGAUAACAGUCGGAAACGGCUGCUAAUACCGCAUAAAGCAUUAAAUUCGCAUGUUUUUGAUGCCAAAGGAGCAAUCCGCUUUUAGAUGAGCUCGCGUCUGAUUAGCUAGUUGGCGGGGUAACGGCCCACCAAGGCGACGAUCAGUAGCCGGACUGAGAGGUUGAACGGCCACAUUGGGACUGAGACACGGCCCAGACUCCUACGGGAGGCAGCAGUGGGGAAUAUUGCGCAAUGGGGGAAACACUGACGCAGCAACGCCGCGUGAUGGAAGAAGGCCUUCGGGGUGUAAAGAUCUUUAAUCAGGGACGAAACAAAUGACGGUACCUGAAGAAUAAGCUCCGGCUAACUAUGUG
Molecule: ribosomal RNA, 483 nt
Filed under: uncultured bacterium
Lineage: Bacteria
Description: partial 16S ribosomal RNA
Rfam family: Bacterial small subunit ribosomal RNA
Source: RNAcentral